GACGUAGGGUGCAAGCGUUGUCCGGAUUUAUUGGGCGUAAAGAGCUCGUAGGCGGUUCGUCGCGUCGGCUGUGAAAACCCGGAGCUCAACUCCGGGCCUGCAGUCGAUACGGGCGGACUUGAGUGUUGCAGGGGAGACUGGAAUUCCUGGUGUAGCGGUGAAAUGCGCAGAUAUCAGGAGGAACACCGGUGGCGAAGGCGGCUAUCUGGACAGAGUCUGACGCUGAGGCGCGAAAGCUAGGGGAGCAAACAGG
This 253-nucleotide ribosomal RNA is filed under the name uncultured bacterium. RNAcentral describes it as "partial 16S ribosomal RNA". It matches the Rfam family "Bacterial small subunit ribosomal RNA", at positions 524 to 776 of the family's 1533-position model. The record is from RNAcentral.